RNAcentral lists this ribosomal RNA (370 nucleotides) under uncultured Desulfocapsa sp. RNAcentral describes it as "bacterial SSU rRNA". It matches the Rfam family "Bacterial small subunit ribosomal RNA", at positions 1013 to 1382 of the family's 1533-position model. Lineage: Bacteria; Pseudomonadati; Thermodesulfobacteriota; Desulfobulbia; Desulfobulbales; Desulfocapsaceae. The record is from RNAcentral.
UGCCUCGCAAGAGGAGCCUGGAGACAGGUGCUGCAUGGCUGUCGUCAGCUCGUGUCGUGAGAUGUUGGGUUAAGUCCCGCAACGAGCGCAACCCUUGUCUUUAGUUGCCAUCAUUCAGUUGGGCACUCUAAAGAGACUGCCGGUGUCAAACCGGAGGAAGGUGGGGAUGACGUCAAGUCCUCAUGGCCUUUAUGACCAGGGCUACACACGUACUACAAUGGCCGGUACAAAGGGCAGCCACUUAGCGAUAAGGAGCCAAUCCCGUAAAGCCGGUCUCAGUCCGGAUUGGAGUCUGCAACUCGACUCCAUGAAGUUGGAAUCGCUAGUAAUCGCAGAUCAGCACGCUGCGGUGAAUACGUUCCCGGGCCUU